RNAcentral lists this unclassified non-coding RNA (223 nucleotides) under Neocatenulostroma sp. Its description in RNAcentral is "partial internal transcribed spacer region". The stretch from base 1 to 46 matches the Rfam family "Eukaryotic small subunit ribosomal RNA", at positions 1786 to 1831 of the family's 1831-position model. The record is from RNAcentral. Lineage: Eukaryota; Fungi; Ascomycota; Dothideomycetes; Mycosphaerellales; Teratosphaeriaceae.
AAGUCGUAACAAGGUCUCCGUAGGUGAACCUGCGGAGGGAUCAUUACUGAGUGAGGGCCUCCUGGUCCGACCUCCAACCCCAUGUUAUCCGACACUGUUGCCUCCGGGGCGACCCGGCCUUCGGGCGUCGGGGCCCCGGGUGGACCAUUCAAACACUGCAUCUUUGCGUCUGAGUACACGAUUGAAUCAAUCAAAACUUUCAACAACGGAUCUCUUGGUUCUG